GAUAAGGUUAAGUGAAUAAGGGCGCACGGUGGAUGCCUUGGCACUAGGAGCCGAUGAAGGACGGGACUAACACCGAUAUGCUUUGGGGAGCUGUACGUAAGCUAUGAUCCAGAGAUUUCCGAAUGGGGGAACCCARCAUCUUUAAUAGGAUGUUACGAUUGUGUGAAUACAUAGCACAUUCGAGGUAGACGCAGAGAACUGAAACAUCUAAGUACCUGCAGGAAGAGAAAGAAAAUUCGAUUCCCUGAGUAGCGGCGAGCGAAACGGGAAAAGCCCAAACCAGCAAGCUUGCUUGUUGGGGUUGUAGGACUCCAAUAUGGUAGUUCUUUCAGAUAGUCGAAUGACUUGGAAAAGUCAGUCAAAGAGGGUAAAAACCCCGUAGACGAAAUGUGGAAGACACC
This 401-nucleotide ribosomal RNA is filed under the name Enterococcus faecium. Its description in RNAcentral is "bacterial LSU rRNA". It matches the Rfam family "Bacterial large subunit ribosomal RNA", at positions 1 to 397 of the family's 2925-position model. Lineage: Bacteria; Bacillati; Bacillota; Bacilli; Lactobacillales; Enterococcaceae. The record is from RNAcentral.